RNAcentral lists this transfer RNA (69 nucleotides) under Leiopotherapon unicolor (spangled perch). RNAcentral's name for it is "tRNA-Glu". It matches the Rfam family "tRNA". From Rfam's summary of the family: Transfer RNA (tRNA) molecules are approximately 80 nucleotides in length. Their secondary structure includes four short double-helical elements and three loops (D, anti-codon, and T loops). Lineage: Eukaryota; Metazoa; Chordata; Actinopteri; Centrarchiformes; Terapontidae. The record is from RNAcentral.
GUUUCUGUAGUUAAAUAAUAACAAUGGUUUUUCAAGUCAUCAUCCCUGGUUAGAGUCCAGGCAGAAAUU